UACAGAGGUCUCAAGCGUUGUUCGGAUUCAUUGGGCGUAAAGGGUGCGUAGGUGGCGCCGUAAGUCGGGUGUGAAAUUUCGGAGCUUAACUCCGAAACUGCAUUCGAUACUGCGGUGCUUGAGGACUGGAGAGGAGACUGGAAUUCAUGGUGUAGCAGUGAAAUGCGUAGAGAUCAUGAGGAAGACCAGUGGCGAAGGCAGCUCGCUGGGACGGUACUGACGCUAAGGCGCGAAAGCGUGGGGAGCGAACAGG
Molecule: ribosomal RNA, 253 nt
Filed under: uncultured bacterium
Lineage: Bacteria
Description: partial 16S ribosomal RNA
Rfam family: Bacterial small subunit ribosomal RNA
Source: RNAcentral